GUCUCCAGGUGUCACACAGGUGUCACACAGGUGUCACACAGGUGUCCCUGUCCCCUGGUGUCCCGGGCUGUCUGCAGGAGUUCCCAGGGCCUCCGGUGGCCCUUCAAGAUCCUGCUGAGCUUCGAGGACCUGCCAGGACCUGACCCCAGAGCACCGGGGGGCACCCGAAAUGCACAGCUGGACCCCAAAAUGGACACCUGGACCCCCAAAAUGCACAGCUGGACCCCAAAAUGGACACCUGGACCCCCAAAAUGCACAGCUGGACCCCAAAAUGGACACCUGGACCCCCAAAAUGCACAGCUGGACCCCAAAAUGGACACCUGGACCCCCAAAAUGCACAGCUGGACCCCAAAAUGGACACCUGGACCCCCAAAAUGCACAGCUGGACCCCAAAAUGGACACCUGGACCCCCAAAAUGCACAGCUGGAUCCGAAAAUCCUGUAAAGCACCCCAUGAAGCCUGAACCCCCAAACCUGGAGAUACCAGAAAUACCCCUGAACCCCAGCGGGUUUGGGGGGUGCCGGGGCUGGGAUCGCCUGUUUUGGGGUUUUGGGGUGUCCCAGGGUGGUGGCCCCCAUUUUUGGGGUGUCUCAGGGCUGUGCCCCCCCCCUGUUUUGGGGGUUUUGGGGUGUGGCAGGGUGGUGACCCCCCAUUUCUGGAGUUUUGGGGUGUCCCUGGUUGGUGUUUGGGGGUCCCAGGGCUGUGACUCCCCUGUUUUAACCUCCCCAGAUGGCAGCUCCCUCCCUUUGUCCCCAAACGGGGGUCCCCAAAACCGUCAGGGGUCCCCAAAAGGCCCUGGAGGGGGCCCCAACUCCCCAAGGCUUCGUUGUAAACGAGUUUGGGACCAAUCAAUAAAGUCUGGGAGAAAAA
Motacilla alba alba is the source of this 870-nucleotide long non-coding RNA. RefSeq lists it as uncharacterized. NCBI's taxonomy places the organism in Eukaryota, Metazoa, Chordata, Aves, Passeriformes, Motacillidae. The transcript has 2 exons. The record is from RefSeq and is a predicted model, not a curated record.